AGUGAACGCUGGCGGUAGGCCUAACACAUGCAAGUCGAACGGCAGCACAGUAAGAGCUUGCUCUUACGGGUGGCGAGUGGCGGACGGGUGAGGAAUACAUCGGAAUCUACUUUUUCGUGGGGGAUAACGCAGGGAAACUUACGCUAAUACCGCAUACGACCUACGGGUGAAAGCAGGGGAUCUUCGGACCUUGCGCGAUUGAAUGAGCCGAUGUCGGAUUAGCUAGUUGGCGGGGUAAAGGCCCACCAAGGCGACGAUCCGUAGCUGGUCUGAGAGGAUGAUCAGCCACACUGGAACUGAGACACGGUCCAGACUCCUACGGGAGGCAGCAGUGUGGAAUAUUAGACAAUGGGCGCAAGCCUGAUCCAGCCAUACCGCGUGGGUGAAGAAGGCCUUCGGGUUGUAAAGCCCUUUUGUUGGGAAAGAAAAGCAGCAGGUUAAUACCCCGCUGUUCUGACGGUACCCAAAGAAUAAGCACCGGCUAACUUCGUG
This 492-nucleotide ribosomal RNA is filed under the name uncultured bacterium. RNAcentral describes it as "partial 16S ribosomal RNA". It matches the Rfam family "Bacterial small subunit ribosomal RNA", at positions 29 to 507 of the family's 1533-position model. The record is from RNAcentral.